UGGGGAAUUUUGGACAAUGGGGGCAACCCUGAUCCAGCAAUGCCGCGUGUGUGAAGAAGGCCUUCGGGUUGUAAAGCACUUUUGUCCGGAAAGAAAUCCCUUGCCCUAAUACGGCGGGGGGAUGACGGUACCGGAAGAAUAAGCACCGGCUAACUACGUGCCAGCAGCCGCGGUAAUACGUAGGGUGCGAGCGUUAAUCGGAAUUACUGGGCGUAAAGCGUGCGCAGGCGGUUUUGUAAGACAGGCGUGAAAUCCCCGAGCUCAACUUGGGAAUGGCGCUUGUGACUGCAAGGCUAGAGUAUGUCAGAGGGGGGUAGAAUUCCACGUGUAGCAGUGAAAUGCGUAGAGAUGUGGAGGAAUACCGAUGGCGAAGGCAGCCCCCUGGGACGUCACUGACGCUCAUGCACGGAAGCGUGGGGAGCAAACAGGAUUAGAUACCCUGGUAGUCCACGCCCUAAACGAUGUCAACUAGUUGUUGGGGAUUCAUUUCUUCAGUAACGUAGCUAACGCGUGAAGUUGACCGCCUGGGGAGUACGGUCGCAAGAUUA
RNAcentral lists this ribosomal RNA (548 nucleotides) under uncultured bacterium. RNAcentral's name for it is "bacterial SSU rRNA". It matches the Rfam family "Bacterial small subunit ribosomal RNA", at positions 355 to 896 of the family's 1533-position model. The record is from RNAcentral.